CCUACGGGAGGCAGCAGUGAGGAAUAUUGGUCAAUGGCCGAGAGGCUGAACCAGCCAAGUCGCGUGAGGGAAGACGGCCCUACGGGUUGUAAACCUCUUUUGUCGGGGAGCAAAGCCAGUCACGUGUGACUCAUUGAGAGUACCCGAAGAAAAAGCAUCGGCUAACUCCGUGCCAGCAGCCGCGGUAAUACGGAGGAUGCGAGCGUUAUCCGGAUUUAUUGGGUUUAAAGGGUGCGCAGGCGGCGGUGUAAGUCAGCGGUCAAAGUGCGGGGCUCAACCCCGUACUGCCGUUGAAACUGCAUGGCUUGAGUGCGAGAGAAGUACGCGGAAUGCGUGGUGUAGCGGUGAAAUGCAUAGAUAUCACGCAGAACUCCGAUUGCGAAGGCAGCAUACCGGCGCGACACUGACGCUCAUGCACGAAAGCGUGGGUAUCGAACAGGAUUAGAUACCCUGGUAGUC
Molecule: ribosomal RNA, 459 nt
Filed under: uncultured bacterium
Lineage: Bacteria
Description: partial 16S ribosomal RNA
Rfam family: Bacterial small subunit ribosomal RNA
Source: RNAcentral